Molecule: ribosomal RNA, 429 nt
Filed under: Bacillota bacterium
Lineage: Bacteria; Bacillati; Bacillota
Description: Firmicutes bacterium partial 16S ribosomal RNA
Rfam family: Bacterial small subunit ribosomal RNA
Source: RNAcentral
UGGGGAAUUUUGGACAAUGGGGGCAACCCUGAUCCAGCAAUGCCGCGUGUGUGAAGAAGGCCUUCGGGUUGUAAAGCACUUUUGUCCGGGAAGAAAUCGCACCUGAUAAUACCGGGUGUGGAUGACGGUACCGGAAGAAUAAGGACCGGCUAACUACGUGCCAGCAGCCGCGGUAAUACGUAGGGUCCAAGCGUUCAUCGGAAUUACUGGGCGUAAAGCGUGCGCAGGCGGUUGUGCAAGACCGAUGUGAAAUCCCCGGGCUUAACCUGGGAAUUGCAUUGGUGACUGCACGGCUAGAGUGUGUCAGAGGGGGGUAGAAUUCCACGUGUAGCAGUGAAAUGCGUAGAGAUGUGGAGGAAUACCGAUGGCGAAGGCAGCCCCCUGGGAUAACACUGACGCUCAUGCACGAAAGCGUGGGGAGCAAACAGG